This 253-nucleotide ribosomal RNA is filed under the name uncultured bacterium. Its description in RNAcentral is "partial 16S ribosomal RNA". It matches the Rfam family "Bacterial small subunit ribosomal RNA", at positions 524 to 776 of the family's 1533-position model. RNAcentral also lists the same sequence under 1 other name. The record is from RNAcentral.
UACGUAGGGUGCGAGCGUUAAUCGGAAUUACUGGGCGUAAAGUGUGCGCAGGCGGCGUCGCAAGUCGAGUGUGAAAGCCCCGGGCUUAACUUGGGAAUUGCGCUCGAAACUACGGUGCUGGAGUGUGGCAGAGGAAGGUGGAAUUCCACGUGUAGCGGUGAAAUGCGUAGAGAUGUGGAGGAACACCGAUGGCGAAGGCAGCCUUCUGGGCCAACACUGACGCUCAUGCACGAAAGCGUGGGGAGCAAACAGG